AUACGUAGGGUGCAAGCGUUGUCCGGAAUUAUUGGGCGUAAAGAGCUCGUAGGCGGCUUGUCGCGUCUGCUGUGAAAUCCCGAGGCUCAACCUCGGGCUUGCAGUGGGUACGGGCAGGCUAGAGUGCGGUAGGGGAGAUUGGAAUUCCUGGUGUAGCGGUGGAAUGCGCAGAUAUCAGGAGGAACACCGAUGGCGAAGGCAGAUCUCUGGGCCGCUACUGACGCUGAGGAGCGAAAGCAUGGGGAGCGAACAGGAUUAGAUACCCUGGUAGUCCAUGCCGUAAACGUUGGGAACUAGAUGUAGGGCCUGUUCCACGGGUUCUGUGUCGUAGCUAACGCAUUAAGUUCCCCGCCUGGGGAGUACGGCCGCAAGGCUAAA
This 378-nucleotide ribosomal RNA is filed under the name uncultured bacterium. Its description in RNAcentral is "bacterial SSU rRNA". It matches the Rfam family "Bacterial small subunit ribosomal RNA", at positions 523 to 898 of the family's 1533-position model. The record is from RNAcentral.